AGCGCCAGUUUGCUACCAAAGUUUUGGUAGCACAGGCGUAUGCUCGCAAAUUAUGAAAUAUUUCCAAGCACAUUUGCAAGCACAAAUGAAAACGGUGACCAAUUUUCGAAGAGGGAAAUAUUUUCAGUAGUUUGGCGAGCACCCUAGCAAAAUACUACCGGUCGAAUUUUCUUCCAUAUUGUGAUUCCCAGCUCGAUUCUCCCUUCCUCAGCCAAGCGCCACCGUUCAAUUCUACCUGCUCCGCCACUAAUCCUCCGCCACCAGCCAGUCUCUCUCUCAAAUUGAGGAACAAUCGCUAGAAAGUGCCUUCAUUGUCAAGCUACACGAGUAUUUACUUACAAUUGCCUGUAGGGAUUAUAAAUUUGCUAAAACAAUGAAUGACUAUUUUCCUAAUCGGCGUUGUUUUUUAAUCAUACACUGCAUUGUGUUUAAUUUAUUUCGAUUGGGAAACUUGUGUGUAUGUAUGUGUGCGUGAUUCUCAUUUAUUCGAUUGUGUAUCCUUCUCCUGCUAUUAAUAACAUUUGGAAACUUGUUUAGUAGCAGAUAAAAUCCGUUGUGUGCAGUGUUGAUUGUUGUGCGUGUGCUAAAAUGAAACUGAUUCUGUCGAUUUCUUUGAAAUUCAGUUGAUUUUUCGUUGCUGCAGCCACCAUAUUGUUUCACUGUGGCUCAGAUGGAAAAUGCAUCUUAUAGGGAAAUUUAGGCAUCUUAAGAACUUCUCACAAACGUGUUUGAGAUCCUGUUUUUUCUUUCUACAAAAGCAGGAUAGAAUGUAGUGAAUUGUAUCUGUCAAAUUUCUGACUGUUACUUUGCUCAAUGUGGUAAGGUUUACUGUUCUUAUCUCUAUCAUUUGAUUAUAUUUUAUAAGCCUGUAGGAAGGGAGAGCAUUCAACUGCUUUAGCAACUGCUACUGAUCCUACAAUACAGGUAUCUUAUAGAAACAGAUCCACUGAGUGCUGGUGAUCCUUUUAGGCAGAUCCACUGAUGCUACAAUAUGAUUGCUUGUGCUGGUGUUUGUAGGAGCUGGAGAUAAAUAAUGAGAGAGGUUUUGGGGACUCAUUAUUCCCAUUUCUCUCAAGCAAGUUUCAGAUAUUUUCUUUAUUUAUAUGUUGAUUUAGCAUGCCAAAAUCAUACAAUGAUGGAUUAUCCAAUAUCAGUAGGAUGAUUGUUCUGCUUUAUACCCUUGAAUUUGGAUACUAUAUGGAGCAGGCUACCAUUGUUUUGAUGCUUAAAAAUGUGAUAGUUAUAAUUUGAAUGUUGAUUUUAAAAUUUUAAGGGAAUGCAGAGAAAGUACUAUGAAUCUCUAUUGGUGGCUUAAUAGUGAUAUGGAGUAUCACAUAACAGCUUUAUGCAUCCAAGGAUGAACUCCAUGACUACUAAAUUAGUGGUUGUAAGUUGUAGCAAACCAUGAGGAUUUUGGCAAUGCUUUGGUGUUUAAUAAGGUAGAAAAGAGAACCUCUAACGAACUAUAAGCACGAAACAUGUAGAUCAAGCAUAUGGUUUGUCUAUAGACUCAAAGGUGUAUAUGCAAUGAUCUAAACAUUCUAAAUGAAUUUGCUCAACUCUUUAACUUAAUAACUUGUAUGAAAUGAUGUUGGAAUCUGACCUGCUGUUUCUAUCAAACUGUUGUUAUGCCGUUUUUGAAUUGUUACUCAUCAUGUAGCCCUACUUCCUAGUUUUCCUGGAUGACAUUUGUUGUGAUUGAUGCAGCCUGGUCUAAGAAGCUCUUGGAUUCAAUGUUUCUUAAGUGGAAUCAUGGCUUGCAAACCUAUCACCUUUACCUCAAUUUGGGCCAAGAGAUGUAGACAUCCAACGUAUACAGAUUAUAUAACCCUAGAGUGAUGAUGUUUUAGAGGGCAGCAGCAAACAUUGGCAAGUUAAGGGAGAAGAGCUCAGAAAGCAAAUUACCGCAGUUACCUUAUAUCUAGUGCAGUGCCAAGACGCAACAGGCUAAUGGGGUAGUAAGACCCAAAUUAUGAUGUCUUUUACGUUGAGUUUUUUGGGAAGAUAAAGAAGAGAAAGUAAAUUCCUGGAGCCGGUCAGGCAACGAAGGUGCAGGAGAAAACUGCGGACAAAAUCGAAAGCGCACGAGGAGUUGGGGAAGCAAAAUGCUGCAUCACGCGCGGAGUUAGAGAAGCAAAAUACGAAGUUGCAGAGAUAUUUAAGAAAAAUGCGGAGUUGGGAGAAUAGUUGAAGAAUCUUAGUCAACAAGUUUAUAAAAUGAGAACUCAAAAAUAGAUUAAGUCUUAUAAACUAAAUGGAAGUGUAAAACAAUAUUUGUUCAUUUUAUGUAAUUUUUGAAUUUUAUUUUUUAA
Molecule: long non-coding RNA, 2312 nt
Organism: Salvia splendens (bonfire salvia)
Lineage: Eukaryota; Viridiplantae; Streptophyta; Magnoliopsida; Lamiales; Lamiaceae
Exons: 5
Source: RefSeq, a predicted model, not a curated record